Musa acuminata AAA Group (dessert banana) is the source of this 1763-nucleotide long non-coding RNA. RefSeq lists it as uncharacterized. NCBI's taxonomy places the organism in Eukaryota, Viridiplantae, Streptophyta, Magnoliopsida, Zingiberales, Musaceae. The transcript has 6 exons. The record is from RefSeq and is a predicted model, not a curated record.
AGUUUGAGGGCCCAUGGGAGCCAUCGUUGGAUCCCCUCACAGUGCAGGUAAUUUUUUGGGUAUAUGUGUUUCCGUAUUAGUAUAUAUACUCUUCUUGGUACUGGUUCUGUUACUCGGGCCGUUGGGCGUAAUAGUUAACAGCUGCUUAAUGUGUCGACUUAAGCUACGACUCAGAGUGCGACCGAAGGAUAUGACGCUACAUAUUCUGGUCGUAUGUUAAGUCGUGUGGUAAGGCAUUCUGGCAAUUGGUUUCUUGGCCAACAACUCGUAGAAAAGAGCGAAACAAUCGCACCGCCAUGAUGUUUCUUGCCCAUUUCCUCCACCGAGGUCCCCUCCCGUCUCCUCCUCGCCGCCUCCCUCUCCUCUUCGUCUCUUGUUCUUCCUCUCUUGCCGUAGCGGCAGCGAUCGAAGACCACGAAGACGUAGCGGCGGCAUCAGUGAAGAGGACGAGAAGGGCCUCAAGAACCUCGGAAACUCUUGCUACCUCAACAGCGUCACCGACACCCCGCCCCUCGCCCAGUUCUACCUCUCCUCUCGGCGCUCGUCUCUCUGAAAGUCGUCGUUCGAGAAUCGAGAGAAGGAGUGCGCCUUCUGCAUCCUCGAGCGGCAGAUCGCUCGAUCCCUCAGCCUUGAUGGGCCACUCGGCGCGCCGUCCAAGAUUCACAAGUGCCUCGCCAGCUUCGCUGAGCACUUCCGGUGGCGCCGUCAGGAGGACACCCACGAGUUCCUCCGCUACGUUAUCGGCUCCUGCUGCCACAACGUUUGCCUCAAGACCCACAAGCGAAGCAUCAGCGGUGGUAACCCUAAAGCGGAGGAGCGCUCAUGGUCCAGCACCGUUGAUGAAGGAGAUCUUCGGGGGGGCCCUGCUCAGCCAGGUGAAGUACCUCCCGUGCAAGGCUGCCCUCGCUCGAUUCUUUCAGCCUCAAGUACAGCAACCAGCCGUAAGAAACUCUCUGUAGCCAGAAAGCAGAUGUUUAUACACGAGCACCCAAUGUGCUUGUCAUACAGCUCAAGAGAUUUGAAGGCACGCAUGGUGCAAAAAUUAACCGGAGAAUCGAAUUUAAUGGAGUUCCUGGGCUAUCAAAGUUCAUGUGUAAUAUGAAUAAGCUUGUUGGAAGGACAUCGGCACACAUCACACAACAUGAGUUGGAGGUGUCAGCAUAUGAUUGGACUAAAUUUUGGCCCGUGACAUCAAGUAUACGGGGGUGUGUUGAGCAGAACAUGCUGUGCCAGAAAGACAGAUGAAAAAACAGAGAAAGAAACGCGUUUGUUCCUGACGAAAAUUCAGAUGACCGAUGACGAUCUACAUGGCCGGGUUUGCGUGUCCACUGCCACAGAGAUGCAGUCUUGUUUUUCCUUUUUGUGAUCACUGCUUCCUUGGUAUCGUGAAGAGGGGAGGAGAGUGAGUCUUCCACGUCGUCUCAGUCACGGCCGCCAUCUUGAUGAAGCGAUCGUUUGCAUCCAAGAAGAAAUUGAAAUUUCAAAGUGUUUGAACUUAUGAAACUGUUUUUUUUUCAGCUUCUGCUAAAGUGCCUCUGUGGAAUCACAUCUAGGUAUUCUUUUCUCAAUAGUUUCAAAGAAGUUGGAAACUUGAAUUAUCAUCUUCUUUCCAUGGAAACGAUUUUUUCCAUCAGAAAGUCAUUGUUCAUCUCACAAACUCAUGUGGGAUCUUUUUGACGCCAAAUUGUAAUUAUUUGUACACCUCGAAAAUACAUAUUUAUACUGUUUCAGAUUCGUUAUUUAUAUAAAUACAUAUUUGUACA